Molecule: small RNA, 132 nt
Filed under: Salmonella enterica
Lineage: Bacteria; Pseudomonadati; Pseudomonadota; Gammaproteobacteria; Enterobacterales; Enterobacteriaceae
Description: RtT sRNA
Rfam family: RtT RNA
About the family: This family represents a bacterial cis-regulatory element known as RtT RNA. The exact function of RtT is unknown although it is thought that it may be involved in changing the cellular response in relation to amino acid starvation.
Source: RNAcentral
UAUCUCUCCGUACGGGGAAGGAUGAGAAGCUUCGACUAAGGUUCGAUUCGAGCGAAAGCGAGAAAGCGUUGCCAACGGCAACGACCCGAAGGGCGAAGCGUGCAGCGCUGAGUAAUCCUUCCCCCGUCAUCC